RNAcentral lists this ribosomal RNA (2927 nucleotides) under Escherichia coli 5.0588. Its description in RNAcentral is "bacterial LSU rRNA". It matches the Rfam family "Bacterial large subunit ribosomal RNA". Lineage: Bacteria; Pseudomonadati; Pseudomonadota; Gammaproteobacteria; Enterobacterales; Enterobacteriaceae. The record is from RNAcentral.
GAAACAUCUUCGGGUUGUGAGGUUAAGCGACUAAGCGUACACGGUGGAUGCCCUGGCAGUCAGAGGCGAUGAAGGACGUGCUAAUCUGCGAUAAGCGUCGGUAAGGUGAUAUGAACCGUUAUAACCGGCGAUUUCCGAAUGGGGAAACCCAGUGUGAUUCGUCACACUAUCAUUAACUGAAUCCAUAGGUUAAUGAGGCGAACCGGGGGAACUGAAACAUCUAAGUACCCCGAGGAAAAGAAAUCAACCGAGGAUUCCCCCAGUAGCGGCGAGCGAACGGGGAGGAGCCCAGAGCCUGAAUCAGUGUGUGUGUUAGUGGAAGCGUCUGGAAAGGCGCGCGAUACAGGGUGAGAGCCCCGUACACAAAAAUGCACAUGCUGUGAGCUCGAUGAGUAGGGCGGGACACGUGGUAUCCUGUCUGAAUAUGGGGGGACCAUCCUCCAAGGCUAAAUACUCCUGACUGACCGAUAGUGAACCAGUACCGUGAGGGAAAGGCGAAAAGAACCCCGGCGAGGGGAGUGAAAAAGAACCUGAAACCGUGUACGUACAAGCAGUGGGAGCACAGAGCAAUCUGUGUGACUGCGUACCUUUUGUAUAAUGGGUCAGCGACUUAUAUUCUGUAGCAAGGUUAACCGAAUAGGGGAGCCGAAGGGAAACCGAGUCUUAACUGGGCGUUAAGUUGCAGGGUAUAGACCCGAAACCCGGUGAUCUAGCCAUGGGCAGGUUGAAGGUUGGGUAACACUAACUGGAGGACCGAACCGACUAAUGUUGAAAAAUUAGCGGAUGACUUGUGGCUGGGGGUGAAAGGCCAAUCAAACCGGGAGAUAGCUGGUUCUCCCCGAAAGCUAUUUAGGUAGCGCCUCGUGAAUUCAUCUCCGGGGGUAGAGCACUGUUUCGGCAAGGGGGUCAUCCCGACUUACCAACCCGAUGCAAACUGCGAAUACCGGAGAAUGUUAUCACGGGAGACACACGGCGGGUGCUAACGUCCGUCGUGAAGAGGGAAACAACCCAGACCGCCAGCUAAGGUCCCAAAGUCAUGGUUAAGUGGGAAACGAUGUGGGAAGGCCCAGACAGCCAGGAUGUUGGCUUAGAAGCAGCCAUCAUUUAAAGAAAGCGUAAUAGCUCACUGGUCGAGUCGGCCUGCGCGGAAGAUGUAACGGGGCUAAACCAUGCACCGAAGCUGCGGCAGCGACGCUGAUGCGUUGUUGGGUAGGGGAGCGUUCUGUAAGCCUGCGAAGGUGUGCUGUGAGGCAUGCUGGAGGUAUCAGAAGUGCGAAUGCUGACAUAAGUAACGAUAAAGCGGGUGAAAAGCCCGCUCGCCGGAAGACCAAGGGUUCCUGUCCAACGUUAAUCGGGGCAGGGUGAGUCGACCCCUAAGGCGAGGCCGAAAGGCGUAGUCGAUGGGAAACAGGUUAAUAUUCCUGUACUUGGUGUUACUGCGAAGGGGGGACGGAGAAGGCUAUGUUGGCCGGGCGACGGUUGUCCCGGUUUAAGCGUGUAGGCUGGUUUUCCAGGCAAAUCCGGAAAACUAAGGCUGAGGCGUGAUGACGAGGCACUACGGUGCUGAAGCAACAAAUGCCCUGCUUCCAGGAAAAGCCUCUAAGCAUCAGGUAACAUCAAAUCGUACCCCAAACCGACACAGGUGGUCAGGUAGAGAAUACCAAGGCGCUUGAGAGAACUCGGGUGAAGGAACUAGGCAAAAUGGUGCCGUAACUUCGGGAGAAGGCACGCUGAUAUGUAGGUGAAGUCCCUCGCGGAUGGAGCUGAAAUCAGUCGAAGAUACCAGCUGGCUGCAACUGUUUAUUAAAAACACAGCACUGUGCAAACACGAAAGUGGACGUAUACGGUGUGACGCCUGCCCGGUGCCGGAAGGUUAAUUGAUGGGGUUAGCGCAAGCGAAGCUCUUGAUCGAAGCCCCGGUAAACGGCGGCCGUAACUAUAACGGUCCUAAGGUAGCGAAAUUCCUUGUCGGGUAAGUUCCGACCUGCACGAAUGGCGUAAUGAUGGCCAGGCUGUCUCCACCCGAGACUCAGUGAAAUUGAACUCGCUGUGAAGAUGCAGUGUACCCGCGGCAAGACGGAAAGACCCCGUGAACCUUUACUAUAGCUUGACACUGAACAUUGAGCCUUGAUGUGUAGGAUAGGUGGGAGGCUUUGAAGUGUGGACGCCAGUCUGCAUGGAGCCGACCUUGAAAUACCACCCUUUAAUGUUUGAUGUUCUAACGUGGACCCGUAAUCCGGGUUGCGGACAGUGUCUGGUGGGUAGUUUGACUGGGGCGGUCUCCUCCUAAAGAGUAACGGAGGAGCACGAAGGUUGGCUAAUCCUGGUCGGACAUCAGGAGGUUAGUGCAAUGGCAUAAGCCAGCUUGACUGCGAGCGUGACGGCGCGAGCAGGUGCGAAAGCAGGUCAUAGUGAUCCGGUGGUUCUGAAUGGAAGGGCCAUCGCUCAACGGAUAAAAGGUACUCCGGGGAUAACAGGCUGAUACCGCCCAAGAGUUCAUAUCGACGGCGGUGUUUGGCACCUCGAUGUCGGCUCAUCACAUCCUGGGGCUGAAGUAGGUCCCAAGGGUAUGGCUGUUCGCCAUUUAAAGUGGUACGCGAGCUGGGUUUAGAACGUCGUGAGACAGUUCGGUCCCUAUCUGCCGUGGGCGCUGGAGAACUGAGGGGGGCUGCUCCUAGUACGAGAGGACCGGAGUGGACGCAUCACUGGUGUUCGGGUUGUCAUGCCAAUGGCACUGCCCGGUAGCUAAAUGCGGAAGAGAUAAGUGCUGAAAGCAUCUAAGCACGAAACUUGCCCCGAGAUGAGUUCUCCCUGACUCCUUGAGAGUCCUGAAGGAACGUUGAAGACGACGACGUUGAUAGGCCGGGUGUGUAAGCGCAGCGAUGCGUUGAGCUAACCGGUACUAAUGAACCGUGAGGCUUAACCUU